Molecule: RNase P RNA, 353 nt
Filed under: Dorea sp. AM58-8
Lineage: Bacteria; Bacillati; Bacillota; Clostridia; Lachnospirales; Lachnospiraceae
Description: RNase P RNA component class A
Rfam family: Bacterial RNase P class A
About the family: Ribonuclease P (RNase P) is a ubiquitous endoribonuclease, found in archaea, bacteria and eukarya as well as chloroplasts and mitochondria. Its best characterised activity is the generation of mature 5'-ends of tRNAs by cleaving the 5'-leader elements of precursor-tRNAs.
Source: RNAcentral
CAAGUAUGACAAGUAAUCGCGGCUGCGAAUGCCGAAAGGCUGCAGGUGAGGAAAGUCCGGGCUUCACAGGGCAGGAUGCCGGAUAACGUCCGGUGGAGGUGACUCCAAGGCCAGUGCAACAGAAAUAUACCGCCUGAUCUUUGGAUCAGGUAAGGGUGGAAAGGCAGCGUAAGAGACUACCGCCCUGCUGGUAACAGCAGGGGCACAUGUAAACCCCAUCCGAAGCAAGACCGAAAAGAGAAGAUACGGCGGCCCGUCGGUUCUCAGGUAGGUUGCUUGAACCUGUUGGCAACGGCAGGUCUAGAUAGAUGAUUACUCAACGACAUAACCCGGCUUAUCGUUGUGCUUGAACC